RNAcentral lists this ribosomal RNA (258 nucleotides) under uncultured bacterium. RNAcentral's name for it is "partial 16S ribosomal RNA". It matches the Rfam family "Bacterial small subunit ribosomal RNA", at positions 793 to 1055 of the family's 1533-position model. The record is from RNAcentral.
GUCCACGCCGUAAACGAUGAUUACUCGAUGUCGGCGAUAGACCGUCGGCGUCUUAGCGAAAGCGUUAAGUAAUCCACCUGGGGAGUACGCCCGCAAGGGUGAAACUCAAAGGAAUUGACGGGGGCCCGCACAAGCGGUGGAGCAUGUGGUUUAAUUCGAUGAUACGCGAGGAACCUUACCUAGGCUAGAAUGCGCGUGACGGUACCGGAGACGGUACCUCCCUUCGGGGCACAAAGCAAGGUGCUGCAUGGCUGUCGU